Molecule: ribosomal RNA, 496 nt
Filed under: uncultured bacterium
Lineage: Bacteria
Description: partial 16S ribosomal RNA
Rfam family: Bacterial small subunit ribosomal RNA
Source: RNAcentral
GAUGAACGCUGGCGGCGUGCCUAAUACAUGCAAGUCGAGCGAACAGACGAGGAGCUUGCUCCUCUGACGUUAGCGGCGGACGGGUGAGUAACACGUGGAUAACCUACCUAUAAGACUGGGAUAACUUCGGGAAACCGGAGCUAAUACCGGAUAAUAUAUUGAACCGCAUGGUUCAAUAGUGAAAGACGGUUUUGCUGUCACUUAUAGAUGGAUCCGCGCCGCAUUAGGUAGUUGGUAAGGUAACGGCUUACCAAGGCAACGAUGGGUAGCCGACCAGUGAGAGGGUUCGGCCCACCGGGACCGGGACCCGGGCCCGAACCCCAAGGGGGGCAGGAGGGGGGAAUUUUGGCGAAUGGGGGAAAGCCCUACCGAGCCAACCCGGGGGGGGGAAGAAGGUUUUUCGAUUCUAAAAACUUUUUUAUUGGGAGAAACCAAAGUUAUAAAAAACAUUGCCGGUUUGAAGGUAACCAAAGAAGAAGGCCCGGCUAACCUCGGG